AGCCAUGCAUGUCUAAGUAUAAGCAAAUUAUACGUGAACUGCGAAUGGCUCAUUAAAUCAGUUAUCGUUUAUUUGAUAGUACCUUACUACUUGGAUAACCGUGGUAAUUCUAGAGCUAAUACAUGCUAAAAACCCCAACUUCGGGAGGGGUGUAUUUAUUAGAUAAAAAACCAAUGCCCUUCGGGGCUCUUUGGUGAUUCAUAGUAACUUAACGGAUCGCAUGGCCUUGCGCCGGCGACGGUUCAUUCAAAUUUCUGCCCUAUCAACUUUCGAUGGUAAGGUAUUGGCUUACCAUGGUUUCAACGGGUAACGGGGAAUUAGGGUUCGAUUCCGGAGAGGGAGCCUGAGAAACGGCUACCACAUCCAAGGAAGGCAGCAGGCGCGCAAAUUACCCAAUCCCGACACGGGGAGGUAGUGACAAUAAAUACUGAUACAGGGCUCUUUUGGGUCUUGUAAUCGGAAUGAGUACAAUUUAAACCCCUUAACGAGGAACAAUUGGAGGGCAAGUCUGGUGCCAGCAGCCGCGGUAAUUCCAGCUCCAAUAGCGUAUAUUAAAGUUGUUGCAGUUAAAAAGCUCGUAGUUGAACCUUGGGCCUGGCUGGCCGGUCCGCCUCACCGCGUGUACUGGUCCGGCCGGGCCUUUCCUUCUGGAGAACCCCAUGCCCUUCACUGGGUGUGCGGGGGAACCAGGACUUUUACUGUGAAAAAAUUAGAGUGUUCAAAGCAGGCCUUUGCUCGAAUACGUUAGCAUGGAAUAAUAGAAUAGGACGUGCGGUUCUAUUUUGUUGGUUUCUAGGACCGCCGUAAUGAUUAAUAGGGAUAGUCGGGGGCAUCAGUAUUCAAUUGUCAGAGGUGAAAUUCUUGGAUUUAUUGAAGACUAACUACUGCGAAAGCAUUUGCCAAGGAUGUUUUCAUUAAUCAGUGAACGAAAGUUAGGGGAUCGAAGACGAUCAGAUACCGUCGUAGUCUUAACCGUAAACUAUGCCGACUAGGGAUCGGGCGAUGUUUCUAUCUUGACUCGCUCGGCACCUUACGAGAAAUCAAAGUUUU
RNAcentral lists this ribosomal RNA (1050 nucleotides) under Murispora cardui. RNAcentral describes it as "SSU rRNA". It matches the Rfam family "Eukaryotic small subunit ribosomal RNA", at positions 47 to 1107 of the family's 1831-position model. The record is from RNAcentral. Lineage: Eukaryota; Fungi; Ascomycota; Dothideomycetes; Pleosporales; Amniculicolaceae. RNAcentral also lists the same sequence under 2 other names.